UACUCCUACGGGAGGCAGCAGUGGGGAAUAUUGGACAAUGGGCGCAAGCCUGAUCCAGCCAUACCGCGUAGGUGAAGAAGGCCUUCGGGUUGUAAAGCCCUUUUGUUGGGAAAGAAAAGCAGUCGGUUAAUACCCGAUUGUUCUGACGGUACCCAAAGAAUAAGCACCGGCUAACUUCGUGCCAGCAGCCGCGGUAAUA
This 199-nucleotide ribosomal RNA is filed under the name uncultured Stenotrophomonas sp. Its description in RNAcentral is "partial 16S ribosomal RNA". It matches the Rfam family "Bacterial small subunit ribosomal RNA", at positions 334 to 525 of the family's 1533-position model. The record is from RNAcentral. Lineage: Bacteria; Pseudomonadati; Pseudomonadota; Gammaproteobacteria; Lysobacterales; Lysobacteraceae.